UACGUAGGGUCCAAGCGUUAUCCGGAAUCACUGGGCGUAAAGCGUGCGUAGGUGGCGCGUUAAGUGAGAUGUUAAAUCGUGUGGCUCAACCAUAUCGAUGCAUCUCAUACUGGCGUGCUAGAGGACAGCAGAGGCAAGUGGAAUUGGUAGUGUAGCAGUGAAAUGCGUAGAUAUUCGGAAGAACACCAGUGGCGAAGGCGACUUACUGGACGAUUGUUGACGCUGAGGUGCGAAAGCGUGGGGAGCAAACAGG
RNAcentral lists this ribosomal RNA (253 nucleotides) under uncultured bacterium. Its description in RNAcentral is "partial 16S ribosomal RNA". It matches the Rfam family "Bacterial small subunit ribosomal RNA", at positions 524 to 776 of the family's 1533-position model. The record is from RNAcentral.